RNAcentral lists this ribosomal RNA (423 nucleotides) under uncultured bacterium. Its description in RNAcentral is "bacterial SSU rRNA". It matches the Rfam family "Bacterial small subunit ribosomal RNA", at positions 207 to 622 of the family's 1533-position model. The record is from RNAcentral.
AAGACCUUGCGCUUUUGGAGCGGCCGAUGCCUGAUUAGCUUGUUGGUGAGGUAAAGGCUUACCAAGGCUUCGAUCAGUAGCUGGUCUGAGAGGACGGCCAGCCACACUGGGACUGAGACACGGCCCAGACUCCUACGGGAGGCAGCAGUGGGGAAUUUUGGACAAUGGGGGCAACCCUGAUCCAGCCAUGCCGCGUGAGUGAAGAAGGCCUUCGGGUUGUAAAGCUCUUUCAGCCGGAACGAAACGGUUACGGUUAAUACCCGUGACUACUGACGGUACCGGAAGAAGAAGCACCGGCUAACUACGUGCCAGCAGCCGCGGUAAUACGUAGGGUGCAAGCGUUAAUCGGAAUUACUGGGCGUAAAGCGUGCGCAGGUGGUUUUGUAAGUCAGAUGUGAAAUCCCCGGGCUUAACCUGGGAACU